UGAACCUACGGGACGCAGCAGUAGGGAAUUUUCGUCAAUGGGCGCAAGCCUGAACGAGCAAUGCCGCGUGAACGCGGAAGGUCUUCGGAUCGUAAAGUUCUGUUGAAGGGGAAAAAGAGCGGAGAGGGGAAAUGAACUCCGAUUGAUAUUACCCUUCGAGGAAGUCACGGCUAACUACGUGCCAGCAGCCGCGGUAAUACGUAGGUGGCGAGCGUUAUCCGGAAUGAUUGG
RNAcentral lists this ribosomal RNA (231 nucleotides) under uncultured bacterium. RNAcentral's name for it is "partial 16S ribosomal RNA". It matches the Rfam family "Bacterial small subunit ribosomal RNA", at positions 332 to 557 of the family's 1533-position model. The record is from RNAcentral.